AACCCUUGUCAUUAGUUGCUACAUUCAGUUGGGCACUCUAAUGAGACUGCCGGUGACAAGCCGGAGGAAGUGGGGAUGACGUCAAGUCCUCAUGGCCCUUAUAGGUGGGGCUACACACGUCAUACAAUGGCUGGUACAAAGGGUUGCCAACCCGCAAGGGGGAGCCAAUCCCAUAAAGCCAGUCGUAGUCCGGAUCGUAGUCUGCAACUCGACUACGUGAAGUCGGAAUCGCUAGUAAUCGUGGAUCAGAAUGUCACGGUGAAUACGUUCCCGGGUCUU
This 279-nucleotide ribosomal RNA is filed under the name uncultured Rhodoferax sp. RNAcentral describes it as "partial 16S ribosomal RNA". It matches the Rfam family "Bacterial small subunit ribosomal RNA", at positions 1100 to 1382 of the family's 1533-position model. The record is from RNAcentral. Lineage: Bacteria; Pseudomonadati; Pseudomonadota; Betaproteobacteria; Burkholderiales; Comamonadaceae.